RNAcentral lists this unclassified non-coding RNA (360 nucleotides) under soil metagenome. RNAcentral's name for it is "partial contains 5.8S ribosomal RNA, internal transcribed spacer 2, and large subunit ribosomal RNA". The stretch from base 1 to 120 matches the Rfam family "5.8S ribosomal RNA", at positions 35 to 154 of the family's 154-position model. The record is from RNAcentral.
GAUGAAGAACGUAGCGAAAUGCGAUAAGUAAUGCGAAUUGCAGAAUUCAGUGAAUCAUCGAAUCUUUGAACGCACAUUGCGCCCGCCAGUAUUCUGGCGGGCAUGCCUGUCUGAGCGUCGUUUCGACCCUCGUGCCCGGCUUCUGUCGGGGGCGGUGUUGGGGAUCGGCCACACCCUUCAGUGGGAGGCCGGCCCCUAAAUUCAGUGGCGACCACGCUGUAGCCUCCCCUGCGUAGUACUAAAACCACCUCGCAGGCGGAGAGCGGUGCGGCCCGCCGUAAAACCCCCCAACUUUUACAAGGUCGACCUCAGAUCAGGUAGGAAUACCCGCUGAACUUAAGCAUAUCAAUAAGCGGAGGA